RNAcentral lists this ribosomal RNA (791 nucleotides) under uncultured bacterium. Its description in RNAcentral is "bacterial SSU rRNA". It matches the Rfam family "Bacterial small subunit ribosomal RNA", at positions 8 to 796 of the family's 1533-position model. The record is from RNAcentral.
AGAGUUUGAUCAUGGCUCAGAUUGAACGCUGGCGGCAUGCCUUACACAUGCAAGUCGAACGGUAACAGGUCUUCGGAUGCUGACGAGUGGCGAACGGGUGAGUAAUACAUCGGAACGUGCCCAGUAAUGGGGGAUAGCUCGGCGAAAGCCGGAUUAAUACCGCAUACGCCCUGAGGGGGAAAGUGGGGGACCGCAAGGCCUCACGUUAUUGGAGCGGCCGAUGGCUAAUUAGCUAGUUGGUAGGGUAAAGGCCUACCAAGGCGACGAUCAGUAGCUGGUCUGAGAGGACGAUCAGCCACACUGGGACUGAGACACGGCCCAGACUCCUACGGGAGGCAGCAGUGGGGAAUUUUGGACAAUGGGGGAAACCCUGAUCCAGCAAUGCCGCGUGUGCGAAGAAGGCCUUCGGGUUGUAAAGCACUUUUGUCAGGGAAGAAAUCCUUUGGGCUAAUACCCUAGGGGGAUGACGGUACCUGAAGAAUAAGCUCCGGCUAACUCCGUGCCAGCAGCCGCGGUAAUACGGAGGGAGCUAGCGUUAAUCGGAAUUACUGGGCGUAAAGCGUGCGCAGGCGGUUGUGUAAGACAGGUGUGAAAUCCCCGGGCUUAACCUGGGAAUUGCAUUUGUGACUGCACGACUAGAGUGUGUCAGAGGGGGGUGGAAUUCCACGUGUAGCAGUGAAAUGCGUAGAUAUGUGGAGGAACACCAAUGGCGAAGGCAGCCCCCUGGGAUAACACUGACGCUCAUGCACGAAAGCGUGGGGAGCAAACAGGAUUAGAUACCCCGGUAGUCC